CUUUCGACACUCGAAACAGAAUGUCGCUCUUUGCUGGGACGUCGUCGUAUCCCGCGGAUGCGGUGGCGCCGCAGCGCAGCAUGGAGAGCGGGUUGGCGUCCAUCAGAGGUAGUGGCGGCGGCGUGCGCGCAAAUGCCCCAGUGAGGUCCUCUACAAUGCCCACCCGGUCGGUGGCUCGGUCCGGGCAACGGUGCCACAUGCCCAACUGGCGACAUUCGACAAUCGCGACAUGGGUGAGAAAGAUGCGCUCGACGGCGGCACCCAAGAGUGCCUCGGGCGACGGAUGCGGACGUGCGCCGGCAGACAGCAGCGUGCGCACGCAUCGGCGCGCUCCACACAAAAUGGCACGCACAAGAGGUGUGUGCGGCAGCACGCGCCAAGUGUAGCCGUCGCGUGCCAUCAUGCUCACAUCGUGUGCGACGUCACAGAUUUCCCGGUGCGCCCCGUCUUCUCUGCGAUUCCGAAGCCCAUCGGCGCACUCUAUCCUGUCGCGGCCGUGGAGAUAAAACACCAUGGCCGUCGGCGUAUCCCAUUUGGCCAUGGACGUGAUAGGCGGCAGGGGUUCGUCGAUCGCGCGGCGGAACCCGACGUCAAGGAUGGCCUUGAGCGUCGUGGCGUCGUCGUGACUGAUGGCAUUGUGCAAAAUGGCAACGGCCCCGACGGGGUCACUGUCGACGUCGCUGACGCCAGCGACUUUCAGUGCACGCUCUAGGCGACGCCCGAGGACCGCUUGCGCAGAAGAGGCCAACGGCGCGCCGCUCGCGGUCGUCGCCACCAGAUCGGCCGGCGGCAAUCUUUGCACGAUCUCGGCCAACAUCUCGGCGGGCAAGCGAUAGACGGCGGGCUCGGACAAAUCCACUGCAGGCAGUUUAUCUGCGGUUGUUGUUGUUGUCGUCGCGGUGCGUGCUCGCUUCUUCGCGCGCCCACCAAAAGGCACGCAUUGCGGCCUGGACGCCAUCACAACGCCGACUGUCCUCACCUCCUGUGCUACGGCUGUCGGUGCCUAUACCCAGUUUUGCGCAAGCAAACAAUUUUUUCUGGCUUGUGUCUGUAUUCGCCGUUGCACGCGCCGCGCAAAAAGAACCGACCAGGCUACUGGCCUGUUUUUAUGGAACCCCUUUGUGUGGCACCCGCUGCGAUCCCUGCCGGCCGACAGCCUUGUUCGCCGAUGGAAAAAUGCAAACCCCUAUUUUUCUUUCUGUGCUCUUUUUUUCAUUCGACAAAUGAGAUGUUUUGGUCAUCAG
RNAcentral lists this long non-coding RNA (1244 nucleotides) under Pandoravirus celtis. Its description in RNAcentral is "hypothetical ncRNA". The record is from RNAcentral.